GUUGACCAGUUCAAAGCUAUCAUCUCUUAACUGUAAAUGUCAUCAACACGUUUAUCAAAUUCAAGGCUUAAGCAAAUUUAGAUUACAAUUUCAUCCUAUACAACUUUAUGAAUGUCAAAUCAAUCAUACAAGCAAGGUCACACGGGCAUCUGGCUGCCAGCGAUGUGACCUGGUCAGUCAGGGCUCCAUAAAAAGGCAGGAAUUUUUCCCUUUAGUUACAGACUACCCACACACGAAUCAUCAUGAAGACUGCCCUUUGUUUCCUGCUCUGUGCACUUUUUACAGUAUUCUCAAAGGCGAAUCCAACUCCAGAACCCUGCGUAGACGCUCUCGGGCAACCUGCGACGGAAUGGAGUCUCUGUUCGUCCAGUCCAUGUUGCGUUGUUCAGUGUAGCUGUUUGGAGAUCUACGGAGUGCGCCAGGCCGUCUGCCGACAAGCAUGCCCAUACUUUAUGCCAUUGCCCGGAUGUAAGUUUCUAGAACCCAUUCACAACGCCACGCACAUGGACUGCUGUAGAAUUGAGUGCACAGUGCCACAGUUGGAGGAGCCGCUCAGACUAUAGAGUACGUCUUGAUGAAGAUCUGACAGACAAUACCGGUGACCCGUUGCUCUCCUGAAAGCAGCUUGUAUUUCUCGCUUACUCACACCUCUGUGCAAUUGGUGUAAACUUUAUACAUACAAGACAAUUGUCCCAAAUAAAGUUGUCA
Molecule: long non-coding RNA, 708 nt
Organism: Liolophura sinensis
Lineage: Eukaryota; Metazoa; Mollusca; Polyplacophora; Chitonida; Chitonidae
Exons: 5
Source: RefSeq, a predicted model, not a curated record